This 403-nucleotide ribosomal RNA is filed under the name uncultured bacterium. RNAcentral's name for it is "partial 16S ribosomal RNA". It matches the Rfam family "Bacterial small subunit ribosomal RNA", at positions 28 to 526 of the family's 1533-position model. The record is from RNAcentral.
GACGAACGCUGGCGGCGUGCCUAAUACAUGCAAGUCGAACGCAAUGGGGACGGUUGAGUAACACGUGGGUAACCUCCCAUCAGAGGGGAUAACACUUGGAAACAGGUGCUAAACCCAUACUGAUGGAUGGACCCGCUGUGCAUUAGCUAGUGGGGGGGGGAACGGCUCACCAAGGCCACGAUGCAUAGCCGGCCUGAGAGGAUGACCAGCCACACUGGGACUGAGACACGGCCCAGACUCCUACGGGAGGCAGCAGUGGGGAAUCUUCGGCAAUGGAGGAAAGUCUGACCGAGCAACGCCGCGUGAAUGAAGAAGGUUUUCGGAUCGUAAAGCACUGUUGUUAGAGAAGCGGUAUCUGACCAAAAAGCCACGGCUAACUACGUGCCAGUAGCCGCGGUAAUUC